RNAcentral lists this ribosomal RNA (675 nucleotides) under uncultured eukaryote. RNAcentral's name for it is "bacterial SSU rRNA". It matches the Rfam family "Eukaryotic small subunit ribosomal RNA", at positions 52 to 717 of the family's 1831-position model. The record is from RNAcentral.
UGCAUGUCUAAGUAUAAAUAACUUUAUACUGUGAAACUGCGUACAGCUCAUUAUAUCAGCAAUAAUUUAUUUGAUGGUUUCUUACUACUUGGAUAACCGUAGUAAUUCUAGAGCUAAUACAUGCGUAAGGCCUGGACUCUUGCGGGAACGGGCGUAUUUAUUAGAUAAAAAACCAAUGCGUUCCUCUGGGACGGUUGUUUGGUGAUUCAUAAUAACUUUUCGAAUCGCACGGCCUUGUGCUGGCGAUAGUUCAUUCAAAUUUCUGCCCUAUCAGCUUUCGACGGUAGUGUAGUGGACUACCGUGGCGUUAACGGGUGACGGAGAAUUAGGGUUCGAUUCCGGAGAGGGAGCCUGAGAAACGGCUACCACAUCCAAGGAAGGCAGCAGGCGCGCAAAUUACCCAAUGAACGAAGUUCGAGGUAGUGACGAAAAAUAACAAUACAAGACUCAUCCGAGGCCUUGUAAUUGGAAUGAGUACACUUUAAAACCGUUUCACGAGGAUCUAUUGGAGGGCAAGUCUGGUGCCAGCAGCCGCGGUAAUUCCAGCUCCAAUAGCGUAUAUUAAAGUUGUUGUGGUUAAAAAGCUCGUAGUUGGAUUUCGGCGGGUAUUGGUUGGUUUGAAUUGCUUCAAUACUGACUUUUUUACCCGUGUGUUUUGCCAGAAUUUAACGGGUG